GACGAACGCUGGCGGCGUGCUUAACACAUGCAAGUCGAACGGAAAGGCCCCUUUGGGGGUACUCGAGUGGCGAACGGGUGAGUAACACGUGAGUAACCUGCCCUUGAUUUCGGGAUAACUUCAGGAAACUGGGGCUAAUACCGGAUAGGAAUCCUUGCUGCAUGGUGGGGGUUGGAAAGCUUCGGCGGUUUUGGAUGGACUCGCGGCUUAUCAGCUUGUUGGUGGGGUAGUGGCUUACCAAGGCUUUGACGGGUAGCCGGCCUGAGAGGGCGACCGGCCACAUUGGGACUGAGAUACGGCCCAGACUCCUACGGGAGGCAGCAGUGGGGAAUAUUGCACAAUGGGCGGAAGCCUGAUGCAGCAACGCCGCGGGCGGGAUGACGGCCUUCGGGUUGUAAACCGCUUUCAGCAGGGGCGAAGCUUGUGGUGACGGUACCUGCAGAAGAAGCACCGGCUAACUACGUG
RNAcentral lists this ribosomal RNA (465 nucleotides) under uncultured bacterium. RNAcentral's name for it is "partial 16S ribosomal RNA". It matches the Rfam family "Bacterial small subunit ribosomal RNA", at positions 28 to 507 of the family's 1533-position model. The record is from RNAcentral.